CACGUAGGGGGCGAGCGUUGUCCGGAUUUAUUGGGCGUAAAGAGCUCGUAGGCGGCUCGGUAAGUCGGGUGUGAAAACUCUAGGCUCAACCUAGAGACGCCACCCGAUACUGCUGUGGCUAGAGUCCGGUAGGGGAGCAUGGAAUUCCUGGUGUAGCGGUGAAAUGCGCAGAUAUCAGGAGGAACACCAGUGGCGAAGGCGGUGCUCUGGGGCCGGUACUGACGCUGGAGGAGCGAAAGCGUGGGGAGCAAACAGG
This 256-nucleotide ribosomal RNA is filed under the name uncultured bacterium. RNAcentral describes it as "partial 16S ribosomal RNA". It matches the Rfam family "Bacterial small subunit ribosomal RNA", at positions 524 to 776 of the family's 1533-position model. The record is from RNAcentral.